GUAGGUGGCAAGCGUUGUCCGGAAUUAUUGGGCGUAAAGCGCGCGCAGGCGGUCCUUUAAGUCUGAUGUGAAAGCCCACGGCUCAACCGUGGAGGGUCAUUGGAAACUGGGGGACUUGAGUACAGAAGAGGAAAGCGGAAUUCCAAGUGUAGCGGUGAAAUGCGUAGGGAUUUGGAGGAACACCAGUGGCGAAGGCGGCUUUCUGGUCUGUAACUGACGCUGAGGCGCGAAAGCGUGGGGAGCAAACAGGAUUAGAUACCCUGGUAGUCCACGCCGUAAACGAUGAGUGCUAAGUGUUAGGGGGUUUCCCGCCCCCCUUAGUGCUGCAGCUAACGCAUUAAGCACUCCGCCUGGGGGAGUACGGCCGCAAGGCUG
This 375-nucleotide ribosomal RNA is filed under the name uncultured organism. RNAcentral's name for it is "partial 16S ribosomal RNA". It matches the Rfam family "Bacterial small subunit ribosomal RNA", at positions 527 to 896 of the family's 1533-position model. The record is from RNAcentral.